RNAcentral lists this transfer RNA (93 nucleotides) under Caulobacter rhizosphaerae. RNAcentral describes it as "tRNA-Ala". Lineage: Bacteria; Pseudomonadati; Pseudomonadota; Alphaproteobacteria; Caulobacterales; Caulobacteraceae. The record is from RNAcentral.
CGGGGGCUAGGUCGACCUCGGCGGUGACCACGUCGAUGGCCUCGGCGUGGUCGUCGACCAGCACGAUCCGUUCGACGCGGGCGCCCUCGCCCA